This 941-nucleotide ribosomal RNA is filed under the name Escherichia coli. Its description in RNAcentral is "partial 23S ribosomal RNA". It matches the Rfam family "Bacterial large subunit ribosomal RNA", at positions 213 to 1194 of the family's 2925-position model. The record is from RNAcentral. Lineage: Bacteria; Pseudomonadati; Pseudomonadota; Gammaproteobacteria; Enterobacterales; Enterobacteriaceae.
GAGGAAAAGAAAUCAACCGAGAUUCCCCCAGUAGCGGCGAGCGAACGGGGAGCAGCCCAGAGCCUGAAUCAGUAUGUGUGUUAGUGGAAGCGUCUGGAAAGGCGCGCGAUACAGGGUGACAGCCCCGUACACAAAAAUGCACAUGCUGUGAGCUCGAUGAGUAGGGCGGGACACGUGGUAUCCUGUCUGAAUAUGGGGGGACCAUCCUCCAAGGCUAAAUACUCCUGACUGACCGAUAGUGAACCAGUACCGUGAGGGAAAGGCGAAAAGAACCCCGGCGAGGGGAGUGAAAAAGAACCUGAAACCGUGUACGUACAAGCAGUGGGAGCACGCUUAGGCGUGUGACUGCGUACCUUUUGUAUAAUGGGUCAGCGACUUAUAUUCUGUAGCAAGGUUAACCGAAUAGGGGAGCCGAAGGGAAACCGAGUCUUAACUGGGCGUUAAGUUGCAGGGUAUAGACCCGAAACCCGGUGAUCUAGCCAUGGGCAGGUUGAAGGUUGGGUAACACUAACUGGAGGACCGAACCGACUAAUGUUGAAAAAUUAGCGGAUGACUUGUGGCUGGGGGUGAAAGGCCAAUCAAACCGGGAGAUAGCUGGUUCUCCCCGAAAGCUAUUUAGGUAGCGCCUCGUGAAUUCAUCUCCGGGGGUAGAGCACUGUUUCGGCAAGGGGGUCAUCCCGACUUACCAACCCGAUGCAAACUGCGAAUACCGGAGAAUGUUAUCACGGGAGACACACGGCGGGUGCUAACGUCCGUCGUGAAGAGGGAAACAACCCAGACCGCCAGCUAAGGUCCCAAAGUCAUGGUUAAGUGGGAAACGAUGUGGGAAGGCCCAGACAGCCAGGAUGUUGGCUUAGAAGCAGCCAUCAUUUAAAGAAAGCGUAAUAGCUCACUGGUCGAGUCGGCCUGCGCGGAAGAUGUAACGGGGCUAAACCAUGCAC